GUGGCAUGGCGGCAGCUACACAUGCAAGUCGGACGGUAGCACAGAGAGAGCUUGCUCCUCGGGUGACGAGUGGCGGACGGGUGAGUAAUGUCUGGGAAACUGCCCGAUGGAGGGGGAUAACUACUGGAAACGGUAGCUAAUACCGCAUAACGUCGCAAGACCAAAGUGGGGGACCUCCGGGCCUCACACCAUCGGAUGUGCCCAGAUGGGAUUAGCUUGUAGGCGGGGUAACGGCCCACCUAGGCGACGAUCCCUAGCUGGUCUGAGAGGAUGACCAGCCACACUGGAACUGAGACACGGUCCAGACUCCUACGGGAGGCAGCAGUGGGGAAUAUUGCACAAUGGGCGCAAGCCUGAUGCAGCCAUGCCGCGUGUAUGAAGAAGGCCUUCGGGUUGUAAAGUACUUUCAGCGGGGAGGAAGGUGUUGAGGUUAAUAACCUCAGCAAUUGACGUUACCCGCAGAAGAAGCACCGGCUAACUCCGUGCCAGCAGCCGCGGUAAUACGGAGGGUGCAAGCGUUAAUCGGAAUUACUUGGCGUAAAGCGCACGCAGGCGGUCUGUUAAGUCAGAUGUGAAAUCCCCGGGCUUAACCUGGGGACUGCAUUUGAAACUGGCCAGCUUUAGUCUCUCUACACGGGGAGGACAAUUCCCGGGUGAACCGCUUGAAAGGCGUAAAUAUUUGGAGGAAUGCGAUCUGGAG
RNAcentral lists this ribosomal RNA (700 nucleotides) under Pantoea stewartii. RNAcentral describes it as "bacterial SSU rRNA". It matches the Rfam family "Bacterial small subunit ribosomal RNA", at positions 39 to 718 of the family's 1533-position model. The record is from RNAcentral. Lineage: Bacteria; Pseudomonadati; Pseudomonadota; Gammaproteobacteria; Enterobacterales; Erwiniaceae.